AUGCCGCGGUCGAGGAGAGGAGGUUGGCGGCCGAGGAGAGGAGGGUGGCCGCCGAGGAGAGGAAAGUGGCAUUGGAGGAGAGGAAGGUGGGCAUGGAGGAGCGAUAUAGAUUGUUGGAAUGGGAGGAGCACUUAUUCUUCUUGGACACAUCUUCGUUCAAUGGUGCGCAAAAGGAAUAUGUCAACCUUGCCCGUGAAGAAGUCUUGA
RNAcentral lists this ribosomal RNA (207 nucleotides) under Triticum aestivum (bread wheat). RNAcentral describes it as "partial small subunit ribosomal RNA". Lineage: Eukaryota; Viridiplantae; Streptophyta; Magnoliopsida; Poales; Poaceae. The record is from RNAcentral.